GCUGGGCAUGGUGGUGUGUGCCUGUAAUCCCAACUACUCGGGAGGCUGAGGCAGGAGAAUCUCUUGAGCCCAGGAGGCAGAGUUUGCAGUGAGCUGAGAGUGCACCACCACUGCACUCCCGCCUGGGCAACAGAGUGAGACUCUGUCUCAA
Pongo abelii (Sumatran orangutan) is the source of this 151-nucleotide unclassified non-coding RNA. It matches the Rfam family "Metazoan signal recognition particle RNA". From Rfam's summary of the family: The signal recognition particle (SRP) is a universally conserved ribonucleoprotein. It is involved in the co-translational targeting of proteins to membranes. Lineage: Eukaryota; Metazoa; Chordata; Mammalia; Primates; Hominidae. The record is from Ensembl.